CUGAACCUGACUCGGUACCUGCUUCUUUCAUUUGACAUGCUUAGGGAAUUAAAAUGUAAAUUGUCUACUUACUGGGCUCUUCAGUUCCACAGCCUAUACAGGGAAGGUGCUGGGAGAGAGCAACAUCCCUCCGCCUGGGCAGGAGACAGAAUUGAAUAAUCAUAAUCAGUGAAGUCAGUGUGACACCAAAAUCUUGUCGGGCUGUAUCCCCGCCUGGUAUGUCAACUGCAUCGAAUGCAACCACAGGACUCUCCAGAGGGUGGUGCGGUCUGCCCAAUGCAUCACCGGGGGCAUACUGCCUGCCCUCCAGGACAUCUACAGCACCCAAUGUCACAGGAAGGCCAAGAAAAUCAUAAAGGACCUCAGCCAGCCGAGCCACGGCCUGUUCACCCCGCUACCAUCCAAAAGGCGAGGAGAAUGCUCAUUUCAUAGUGGUGGACAUGGUGCUGUAGGCCUUGGAGGGGGUCUGAGUCAGAAGAGCUGUGGGGCCAUGGGGAACCAUACAGGGACUCAGGGGCCAAAACCUGCAUCCACCCCCCAAAGACACUGUCACGUCCUGACCCUAGUUUCACGGAUUUAAUAAAAUGUAGAACUACAAACACGCUGCACCUUGGUCCGCUCCUUUGGACAACCGUGACAGAAUAACCCACCAUAAAAGGACCAAGCAGCGUGGAAAAGAAUGGACCUGGGAGGAAGUUCUGGACGGCAAGGGAUCCUGGACAUGGGAGGAGAUCCAGGCUGGAUGGGAUCGCCUUCCAUGGGAACAGGUGGAGGCAGCGAGAGCAGAGCGGCGACGAGAGGAGGCACGAUACCAACGGCGAGACAAGUGCGAGAGACACACGGGGAGAUUGGCAAAGUCAGGUUGGAGACCUGUGCCAACUCCCCAUGCUUACUGUGGGGGGUGAGUGAUCGAGCAAGCACCAUGUUAUGCUGAGAUACACACUGUGUCGCCAGUGCGCAGCUACAGCCCGGUGCGCUCGGUGAAAGCAACUCACAGGUGCUGUGCUAGAUUUGGCAUUGAGCCAGGAAGGAGUAUGCCUGCUCAGCGUUCCUGGUCUCCGGUGCGUCUUCUCGGUCCAGGUUAUCCUGCGCCAGCUCUACGCACGGUAACCCCAGUUCGCCAACACAAACCUGUGCGACCUGUCACAACGCCUCGCGCUUGUCGGUCUACGGAGGUUAUCCAGCCAGGACGGGUUGUGCCAGCCAUAAGCUCCAGACCUCCAGUGCGUCUUCACGGCCCAGUAUACCCUGUGCCUGCUCCGGGAACCCGGCCUCCAGUGACGUUCCCUAGUUCAGAACUCUCAGCGACGUUCUCUAGUCCGGUGAGACCUAUUCCAGUUCCACGAAAGAAGCCUCCAGUGAUGAUCCAUGGCCCGGAGCCUGUAGGGAUGAUCCAUGGCACGAAGCCUCCAGAGAUAAUCCAUGGCCUGGAGUCUGUAGGGAUAAUCCAUGGCAAGAAGCCUGUAGGGAUGAUCCAUGGCCCGGAGCCUGUAGAGAUGAUCCAUGGCACGAAGCCUCCAGUGAUAAUCCAUGGCGCGGAGCCUCCAGUGAUGAUCCAUGGCCCGAAGCCUCCAGUGAUGAUCCAUGGCCCGAAGCCUCCAGGGAUGAUCCAUGGCCCGAAGCCUCCAGGGAUGAUCCAUGGCCCGAAGCCUCCAGCAACGAUCCAUGGUCCGAAGCCUCCAGCGCCAAGCCAAGGUCCGGAGUCUCCAGCGACGGUCCGCAGUCCGGAGUCUCCAGCGACGGUCCGCGGUCCGGAGUCUCCAGCGACGGUCCCCGGUCCGGAGCUCCCAGCGACGGUCCGGAGCCUCCAGCGACGGUCCCCAGUCAGGAGCCCCCAGCAAGGGUUCCCAGGCCGGAGCCUCCGGCGACGAUCGGUGGUUCGGUUCCUCCAGCAGUGAUCUACGGUCCGGAGUCCGCGAUGACGAUCUACUGUCUGGAGUCCGUGACAACGAUCUACGGUCCGGAGUCCUCCGCGACGAUCCCUGUACCAGAGGCGCCACCGAAGUGGGGGGAGCCUCAAGCUGAGCGGGGUCUGCGUCCCGCACCGGAGCCUCCACCGAGAUGAGAUGCCCACCCGGACCCUCCCCUAUAGGUUCAGGUUUGCUGUCUCAGUCCAGUGUCUGUGUGGUGGGCUUAGAUAAGGUGAUGUCGGGACAGUGUCCCUCCGUAGAGGAGAGGCAGUGCCACCACGACUGACCACAUGCACACAUAGAGAGAGAUUUUCUGUGAACACAGUUACAGUAUAUCUCAACUUCCUUCAAAACAACUUCUCUUGUACUUGCUGAAUGAAAACUGAAAACUAUCAGCAGAAAAUAUGCAAAUGUAUAUUGAACAAAAAAAUGUACGCGCCAUGCAACAAUUUCAUAUAAAGUUAAUAUAGAGAAAUCAGUCAAUUGAAAUAAAUAAAUUAGGCCUUAAUCUAUGGAUUUUACUGGGAAUACAUAUAUGCAUCUGUUGGUCACAGAUACCUUUAAAAAAAGUAGGGGUGUGGAUCAGAAAACCAGUCAGUGUCUGGUGUGAUCACCAUUUGCCUCAUGCAGCGCGACACAUCUCCUUCACAUAGGGCUGUUGAUUGUGGCCUGUGGAAUGUAGUCCCACUCCUCUUCAAUGGCUGUGCGAAGUUGCUGGAUACUGACGGGAACUGGAACACGGUGUCGUACUUGUCAAUUCAGAGCAUCCCAAACAUGCUCAAUAGGUGACAUACUGUAUCUGGUGAGUAUGCAGAACUGGGACAUUUUCAACUUCCAGGAAAAGUUGAAACUACACAUUUUAGAGUGGCCCUUUAUUGUCCCCAGCACAAGGUGCAACUGUGAAAUGAUCAUGCUGUUUAAUCAGCUUCUUGAUAUGCCACACCUGUCAGGUGGAGGGAUGAUCUUGGCAAAGGAUAAAUGCUCAGGGUGUAAACUAAUUUGUGCACAAAAUUUGAGAUGAAUGAGCUUUUUGUGUGUAUGAAAUGUACAGUACACUGUGAAAUUUGCAUGAUGGCAUUGUUUGCAUUAGUAUGUACAGAAGAUAUAUCCUCAUCUCCAACAUUACAAGUUAAUUCGACAGAUGAGCAAGCGUCCCUAGCAGUUUCAGUCAGUCAUCACCAGUUGCAGUAGUAAGCUACUUCUUAUGACACCUUCCCAUAAAGGUAGAUACAAUAGGAAGUUAUAGAAUAUAUUCAUAUUAUAACCAUAGGUAUCUCUAUUGUGAAGGGGAUAUUUUCACAUGAACACCAACCUUUUUGAUAUCAUGUGAGGCCAUAUUAGAGUUGUACAGUCAAGUGCAUGUGAGAGAUCACUGUUUGAAGGAGGACAUUGACUUUGUAGAGCUCCUCAAACAAAUACAGAAUUUGUCUAAUAAUAAUCUCCUGAAUCCAUAAACAAACAAUAUUAUUAUAUUAGAAUAUUGCAAAUAAACAAUAUAUCAAUGGGCAUGUCAAGCCUAUACAGUAUAUACAGUGUCUUCGGAAAGUACUCAGACCCCUUGACUUUUUCCACAUUUUGUUACAUUAAAGCCUUAUUCUAAAAUGGAUUGAAUUGUUUAUUUUCCUCAUCAAUUUAUACACAAUACCCCAUAAUGAGAAAGCAAAAACAGGUUUUUAGAUAUUAUUGCUAACAUAUAAUUUAAAAAAACUUCAAUAUCACAUUUACAUAAGUAUUCAGACCCUUUACUCAGUACUUUGUUGAAGCACCUUUGGCAGCGAUUACAGCAUUGAGUCUUCUUGGGUAUGACGCUACAAGCUUGGCACACCUGUAUUUGGAGAGUUUUUCCCAUUCUUCUCUGCUGAUCCUCUCAAGCUCUGUCAGGUUGGACGGGGAGCGUCGCUGCACAGCUAUUUUCAGGUCUCUCCAGAGAUGUUCGAUUGGGUUCAAGGCAUUCAGAGACUUGUCCCGAAGCCACUCCUGCGUUAUCUUGGCUUGUGUGCUUAGGGUAGUUUUCCUGUUGGAAGGUGAACCUUCACCCCAGUCUGAGGUCCUGAGCACUCUGGAGUGGGUUUUCAUCAAGGAUCUCCGUUCAUCUUUGCCUGGAUCCUGACUAGUCUCCCAGUCCCUGCUACUGAAAAACAUCCCCACAGCAUGAUGCUGCAACCACCAUGCUAUACCGUAGGGAUGGUGCCAGGUUUCCACCAGACGUGACGCUUGGCAUUCAGGCCAAAGAAUUAAAUCUUGGUUUCAUCAGACCAGAUAAUCUUCUUUCUCAUGGUCUGAGAGUUUAGGUGCCUUUUGGCAAACCCCAAGCAUGCUGUCAUGUGCCUUUUACUGAGGAGUGGCUUCCGUCUGGUCACUCUACUAUAAAGGCCUGAUUGGUGGAGUACUACAGAGAUGGUUGUCCUUCUGGAAGGUUCUCUCAUCUCCACAGAGAAACUCCAGAGCUCUGUCAGAGUGACCAUCAGGUUCUUGGUCACCUCCCUGACCAAGGCCCUUCUCCCCCGAUUGCUCAGUUUGGCUGGGCGGCCAGCUCUAGGAAGAGUCUUGGUGGUACCAAACUUCUUAAUUUAAGGAUGAUGGAGGCCACUGUGUUCUUGGGGACCUUCAGUGCUGCAGACAUUUUUUGGUACCCUUCCCCAGAUCUGUGCCUCGACACAAUCUGUGCCUCGGACAAUUCCUCGGACAAUUCCUUCAACCUCCUGGCUUGGUUUUUGCUCUGACAUGCUCUGUCAACUGUGGGACCUUAUAUAGACAGGUGUGUGCCUUUCCAAAUCGUGCCCAAUCAAUUGAAUUUACCACAGGUGGACUCAAAUGAAGUUGUAGAAACAUCUCAAGGAUGAUCAAUGAAAACAGGAUGCACCUGAGCUCAAUUUCGAGUCUCAUAGCAAAGGGUCUGAAUACUUAUGUAAAUAAGGUUUUCUGUUUUUGUUUUUUUAUACAUUUGCAAAAAUGUAAAAAAAACGUUUCACUUUAUUAUUAUGGAGUAUUGUGUGUAGAUUGCUGAGAUAAAAAAAAAAGUUAAGAUACAUGUACACCUGCAGCAAGUAGUAUUGAAACCAUAGGAACAAUCACAAAUGUGAUUCUUUACAGAAUCUCUGAAACAAUUUAAUAUUCUAUCCAACUGUAAAGUACUCACCAUUUUGUAUAAUCCCAAAACAGAGGACAUGGUCGAACGUGAGUCUUUUUGUCAUGUGACGUGUAAAAUCAUACAGCUGUAAAAUUGUGAACUUGUUGAGCAAGAAGUGGGUCGGAUAUCUUUACAUCCAACAUUUAAUGUUGGGGGUCUCAUUCUGUUGUUAUAAGUGCUCUUAUAACCACACGUCAGUGAAUGACAAGUUUAGAUAACUGAGCUCUUUUAAUAUCUUGUUUAAAAAUGUGCACUAGUCUACUGCUCCAGUUCAGCAGUCCAAGUUAAAUUAGCGAGUGAGCUCUUAUGUCUUUGUGUAAUUAAUGUUUUAUCAAAGGUCAAAGGCUCAAACUCCAAGUAGUGUCUUAGAACUCCAAGUAGUGUCUUAUAAUUACUACAUAUUAUGUUUGACCUGAAAAGUGUUAUAAUACUCAUCCCAACAUCUCACAAAUCUCUG
This 5497-nucleotide long non-coding RNA is filed under the name Salmo salar (Atlantic salmon). RNAcentral's name for it is "lncRNA (ENSSSAG00000092052.1)". Lineage: Eukaryota; Metazoa; Chordata; Actinopteri; Salmoniformes; Salmonidae. The record is from RNAcentral.